UGGGGAAUAUUGCACAAUGGGCGCAAGCCUGAUGCAGCCAUGCCGCGUGUAUGACGAAGGCCUUCGGGUUGUAAAGUACUUUCAGCGGGGAGGAAGGCGAUAAGGUUAAUAACCUUGUCGAUUGACGUUACCCGCAGAAGAAGCACCGGCUAACUCCGUGCCAGCAGCCGCGGUAAUACGGAGGGUGCAAGCGUUAAUCGGAAUUACUGGGCGUAAAGCGCACGCAGGCGGUCUGUCAAGUCGGAUGUGAAAUCCCCGGGCUCAACCUGGGAACUGCAUUCGAAACUGGCAGGCUAGAGUCUUGUAGAGGGGGGUAGAAUUCCAGGUGUAGCGGUGAAAUGCGUAGAGAUCUGGAGGAAUACCGGUGGCGAAGGCGGCCCCCUGGACAAAGACUGACGCUCAGGUGCGAAAGCGUGGGGAGCAAACA
This 427-nucleotide ribosomal RNA is filed under the name uncultured bacterium. Its description in RNAcentral is "partial 16S ribosomal RNA". It matches the Rfam family "Bacterial small subunit ribosomal RNA", at positions 355 to 774 of the family's 1533-position model. The record is from RNAcentral.